RNAcentral lists this ribosomal RNA (141 nucleotides) under uncultured eukaryote. RNAcentral describes it as "partial 18S ribosomal RNA". It matches the Rfam family "Eukaryotic small subunit ribosomal RNA", at positions 1299 to 1453 of the family's 1831-position model. The record is from RNAcentral.
UGGUGGAGUGAUUUGUCUGGUUAAUUCCGUUAACGAACGAGACCCCCGCCUGCUAAAUAGUUGCGAUUAUGCUUAGCAUAGUUGGCAGCUUCUUAGAGGGACUUUCGGUGAUCAACCGAAGGAAGUUGGGGGCGAAUAACA